UACGUAGGGUGCAAGCGUUGUCCGGAAUUAUUGGGCGUAAAGAGCUCGUAGGCGGUCUGUCGCGUCGAAUGUGAAAACCCGGGGCUCAACCCCGGGCCUGCAUUCGAUACGGGCAGACUAGAGUUCGGUAGGGGAGACUGGAAUUCCUGGUGUAGCGGUGAAAUGCGCAGAUAUCAGGAGGAACACCGGUGGCGAAGGCGGGUCUCUGGGCCGAUACUGACGCUGAGGAGCGAAAGCGUGGGGAGCGAGCAGG
Molecule: ribosomal RNA, 253 nt
Filed under: uncultured bacterium
Lineage: Bacteria
Description: partial 16S ribosomal RNA
Rfam family: Bacterial small subunit ribosomal RNA
Source: RNAcentral